Molecule: ribosomal RNA, 253 nt
Filed under: uncultured bacterium
Lineage: Bacteria
Description: partial 16S ribosomal RNA
Rfam family: Bacterial small subunit ribosomal RNA
Source: RNAcentral
CACGUAGGGGGCAAGCGUUGUCCGGAUUUAUUGGGCGUAAAGAGCUCGUAGGUGGCUGAGUAAGUCGGAUGUCAAAUACCCAGGCUCAACCUGGGACACCACCCGAUACUGCUCUGGCUAGAGUCCGGUAGGGGAGCAUGGAAUUCCUGGUGUAGCGGUGAAAUGCGCAGAUAUCAGGAGGAACACCAGCGGCGAAGGCGGUGCUCUGGGCCGGAACUGAAACUGAGGAGCGAAAGCGUGGGGAGCAAACGGG